GUAUAGGUUCUGAAUAUUCAUUAGAAGGUGGAAGGAUAUAGUUUUGGGUGAUUUGGUCCUGGAGAAGAUUUGAGAAGAUUUUUGGGGGUAUUUUAUCCCGGAUCUUAUCACUGCAACUCUCGGACACCUAAGAAGGAGGUCGGCAAACCAUGGAACUACUACGAACGUAGAUCUGUCGAGGCCGCACCUUAGUCGACACCUUGCUGACACGGACAUAAUAUUGACUAACGACAUACGUCUCUUCGAGAAUUGGGCGCCGAGAAAUCCGCCGCACUGCGGUACAUCGGAGAAGGGAGGUGUUGAAACAGGUGGAUCCAACUCACUUGACUCACUUCAAGAGACAUGUGCGACAAAGCUGCUGAAACCAAGCAAGGCCUCUGCACAAAUUUGUACCUCAACCGUCCCGGCAAAGAGGCUACUUGAGGGAUUGACAACUUUAGUUUGCGGGUGAUGCUAUGAUUGCGGACCUGACCGAGAAGAUUAGUGAUCAUGGCUGUCCAAAUUGUGAUGAAAAGUUAUCAAAAGGUAAGUAAGUGAAAUAAAUUAGUUUGAAA
This 554-nucleotide long non-coding RNA is filed under the name Strongylocentrotus purpuratus (purple sea urchin). RNAcentral's name for it is "uncharacterized LOC105444241, transcript variant X2". Lineage: Eukaryota; Metazoa; Echinodermata; Echinoidea; Camarodonta; Strongylocentrotidae. The record is from RNAcentral.